Acanthosepion pharaonis is the source of this 108-nucleotide non-coding RNA. The record is from the annotation of a GenBank genome assembly. NCBI's taxonomy places the organism in Eukaryota, Metazoa, Mollusca, Cephalopoda, Sepiida, Sepiidae.
CAUAUCACAUUAAAAACACCAGGUCCCAUCUGAUUACUGAAGUUAAGCAACAUUGAGCCUAGUUAGUACCUAGUUGGGUAACUGUUUGGCAAUACCAUGCGCUGUAAG